GAUGAACGCUGGCGGCGUGUCUAAGGCAUGCAAGUCGAACGGACUGUUAUUUGUAGCAAUACUUAGAACAGUUAGUGGCAAACGGGUGCGUAACACAUUGGUAACCUGCCUCAAAGUCGGGCAUAAUCCCGCGAAAGUGGGACUAAUUCCACGAUAGUCAUCGAAGGUGAGAUUCCUUCGAUGUAAAGUCGCAAGACGCUUUGAGAGGGGCCUAUGGCCUAUCAGCUUGUUGGUGAGGUAACGGCUCACCAAGGCUAUGACGGGUAGGGGGUGUGAGAGCACGACCCCCCUCACUGGGACUGAGACACUGCCCAGACACCUACGGGUGGCUGCAGUCGAGAAUAUUCCCCAAUGGCCGAAAGGCUGAGGGAGCGACGCCGCGUGCAGGAA
This 390-nucleotide ribosomal RNA is filed under the name uncultured bacterium. Its description in RNAcentral is "bacterial SSU rRNA". It matches the Rfam family "Bacterial small subunit ribosomal RNA", at positions 28 to 409 of the family's 1533-position model. The record is from RNAcentral.